This 21-nucleotide non-coding RNA is filed under the name Arabidopsis thaliana (thale cress). The record is from RNAcentral. Lineage: Eukaryota; Viridiplantae; Streptophyta; Magnoliopsida; Brassicales; Brassicaceae.
UGGCAAGCUCUCAUGUGCUGA